RNAcentral lists this ribosomal RNA (429 nucleotides) under Fusobacteriota bacterium. RNAcentral describes it as "Fusobacteria bacterium partial 16S ribosomal RNA". It matches the Rfam family "Bacterial small subunit ribosomal RNA", at positions 355 to 776 of the family's 1533-position model. The record is from RNAcentral. Lineage: Bacteria; Fusobacteriati; Fusobacteriota.
UGGGGAAUAUUGCGCAAUGGGCGAAAGCCUGACGCAGCGACGCCGCGUGAGGGAUGAAGGUUUUCGGAUCGUAAACCUCUGUCAGAAGGGAAGAAACCGCACUGUGCUAAUCAGCAGUGCCUUGACGGUACCUUCAAAGGAAGCACCGGCUAACUCCGUGCCAGCAGCCGCGGUAAUACGGAGGGUGCAAGCGUUAAUCGGAAUUACUGGGCGUAAAGCGCACGUAGGCUGCUUUGUAAGUCAGGGGUGAAAUCCCACGGCUCAACCGUGGAACUGCCUUUGUUACUGCUUAGCUUGAAUCCGGGAGAGGGUGGCGGAAUUCCAGGGGUAGGAGUGAAAUCCGUAGAUAUCUGGAGGAACAUCAGUGGCGGAGGCGGCCGCCUGGACCGGUAUUGACGCUGAGGUGCGAAAGCGUGGGGAGCAAACAGG